Ctenopharyngodon idella (grass carp) is the source of this 2540-nucleotide long non-coding RNA. RefSeq lists it as uncharacterized. The transcript is spliced from 6 exons. The record is from RefSeq and is a predicted model, not a curated record. Lineage: Eukaryota; Metazoa; Chordata; Actinopteri; Cypriniformes; Xenocyprididae.
UUCUGCUGCGUUCAAUGUUUCGUUUCGUAACGAAUUUCUUCUCAUAAUAUCAUCUCAUAAUAUAAUUAUACAUUCUUUGUUGAAAUACGCGGACAUUUCAACAAUGAAGAGUUUUCGAACUGAAGGAAUUCCCGCCCGGCGCAAGGAUACAGUCUCUUCUAAGCACACGGUGAGUGGCGCAGAUUGCAGCCGUACGUGGAUGUGAAGCGAAAAAAUAAGCGGGUAAAAUACACAUUUUCUAAACUUGUCUUUAUUAUAUGUUGUUUCUAGCAUUUUGAACUGUCCCAAUGCCUGAGUCGUUAAACCAGUGAUUGUGUGUGUUUUAAUGUUUUAAACGGUGCGGGCCGUUAAUCAUUUAAAAUGUUUAUGAUGUUUAAAAUUAGGUCUCAGUUGACGGUAAGGUGUAGUUUUGUUAUUUACUUGACAUUAUCAAAGUCCUAACAUUAGUCCCUUAUUUUGUUGAGGCUUUCUGUUGCAUUUUGUUUCCACUGUAAGUUAGGCCUAACGUUACUGCCAUUUUUCCAUCUGAGGAAAAAAUGUAACGUACUUUGCCAAACAGCUGACGACGAGUAGCGUGGAUUUAUAAUUUUUUGGGAUAUACUUGAAUCUACAUGAAUUAUAUAUGUGUAUAUAAAUAUAUAUAUAUAUAUAUAUAUAUAGUACCGGUCAAAAGUUUGGAAACAUUAGGCCUAGUAUUUUUAACGUUUUUGAAGUCCCUAUGCUCAUCAAGCCUGCAUUUAUUUGAUAAAAAAUACAGAGAAAAAAAAAAAAAAAAACAAUUUAAAAUAAUGGUUUUCUAUUUGAGUAUACUUUAAAAUAUAAUUUAUUUCCGUGAUGCAAAGCUGAAUUUUCAUCAGCCAUUUCUUUAGAUUAUUAUGGAUUUGUAAAUGAAUGUGUCCCAUGCACUCAUGUUUCUAUCUCUCUCUCUCUGUAGAUAAGUUUUGAGUUUCUGAUAUUAAAGGCAUAGUGAAAAGAUAAGUUGUUAGUUUCUGAUAUUAAAGGCCUGGUGAACAGAUAAGUUGUGAGUUUCUGAUAUUAAAGUCCCCAUGAACCGGAAGUUGCAAACGACUUUUCUCCAGUGUUGUGACGUAUUUCCAAGUGAAAUGGAAUAUUGAAUAGAGGGCAGGGUUUUACUUCAGCGCUCCACUUCUCCAUCUCUGGCUCAUAGCAGAGUAACGGUUGGAGGGGAGUGGUUUAAGCGUUUUCAACCCAAGCCGUCAAACUGACGUCAUCAGAGAAGGAACGCCAUUCCAGACCGGAAGUAACUUUUCAGAUUUUGAUUAAAGAUCACCGCGACAAACAAUUUUUUUCUGUGUAUUAACUUGCACAGAUUAAUUGUUCACCACAAAACUAGUAAUAUGCACUAACAAAGUAAAUAGGGUAAAUUUUGAUUUCAUGCCAACUUUAAAGGCAUGGUGAACAGGUGAGAGUUGCACCAUUUAAAGAUAAUAUAAUUGUUAGAAUUGAUGUUUUUAUGUUUUAUUUCUCACAUUAAGUCUCUCUCUCUCUCUGCAGAAAAGUUGUGUUAGUUUCUGAUAUUAAAGGCAUGGUGAACAGAUAAGUUGUGUGAGUUUCUGAUAUUAAAGGCAUGGUGAACAGGAAGGGUACUUUGUUUUCUGUGGACCAAAUCAUUGUUAAUAGCCACAGGACCAGUUUCAGUGAUACUGUUGAGUUUGCAUCCUACAACUACCUGAACAUCUCGUACCCUGCAGGCCAAGGAGCAACGCUGGAGUUCUUGCAGAGUUGCCUUUUCAAGAUAAACCCCAAGGGAUCUAAUGCUGAGAAGAGCACUUAAAGAAAGCAGAUGACGGUUAGUCCACAGCAUGUGUGUCAAACUCCACUCCUGGGGGGCAACUGUCCUGCAAAGUGCUCCAGCCCGCUCCAGAACACCUGUGUAGUGAUGGGUCAACAGCGUGUGGAUCCAUAAGCAGCUUUAUUAAACACAGCAGCAGUACAGAAAAGGGCAGAGCAAUACCAUAGUCAGGGACAGGCAGGGGUCGAGGCAGGCAGCGAGAAUCAGAGACGGGUCACAGGCAGAGAUCAAGACAGGCAGCAAACAAUCACAGUCCAAGGUACAGGCAAAGUUCAGGGCAGGCAGCAGAGACUUCGCAAAGAUGUGGUGUGCGUGUGAGGCUUAAAUAGUGUGUGUGUGAUGUGGUGCAGGUGAAAGUGCAAUCAGUCCCAGGAAUGAGGGCCUAUGGGAAAUGGAGUCCGAAUGGCAAAGAAUCAAUAUUCCGGAGAUGGCUCCCUCCGGCGGUCCGGAGGAUGAGCCGUGGGAGCCAUAUUCACGACAACCUGCCUGGAAGUUUCUAGCAAUCCUGAAGACAUUGAUUAGCUGGUUCAGGUGUGUUUAAUUAGUUCCUGUUGUUUUUAAUGGCUCCUUGUAAUUCAUAUAUUGACCAGUGGUCAGGUUUUGAAGGCAGACUGUUUAAUUAUUAUUCGACUGUAACUUUUUUUUUGUUUGUAACAAAUUGUUGUAUUGUCAUAUUAAGUAUACUGCUGCAAUUGAAACCAUUACUAGUUUUAAAACUGUUUUUGGC